AUUGAACGCUGGCGGCAUGCUUUACACAUGCAAGUCGAACGGCAGCACGGGAGCAAUCCUGGUGGCGAGUGGCGAACGGGUGAGUAAUAUAUCGGAACGUGCCCAGUAGUGGGGGAUAACUGCUCGAAAGAGCAGCUAAUACCGCAUACGACCUGAGGGUGAAAGGGGGGGAUCGCAAGACCUCUCGCUAUUGGAGCGGCCGAUAUCAGAUUAGCUAGUUGGUGGGGUAAAAGGCCUACCAAGGCAACGAUCUGUAGUUGGUCUGAGAGGACGACCAGCACACUGGGACUGAGA
This 294-nucleotide ribosomal RNA is filed under the name uncultured bacterium. RNAcentral describes it as "partial 16S ribosomal RNA". It matches the Rfam family "Bacterial small subunit ribosomal RNA", at positions 30 to 324 of the family's 1533-position model. The record is from RNAcentral.